Long non-coding RNA from Biomphalaria glabrata, 2786 nucleotides. RefSeq lists it as uncharacterized. The transcript has 3 exons. The record is from RefSeq and is a predicted model, not a curated record. Lineage: Eukaryota; Metazoa; Mollusca; Gastropoda; Planorbidae.
UGAUUGGUUCCCUGGGUGAAGAGGCGAUAUUUCCUCCCACUGAUAUUUUGGUCACUUUUAAUGAGGUUUUGUGACAUCAGCGCUGACCGCUCCGUAACAUCAAUUGUCUUUCUUUUUUUUUCAUUUAUAUUCUCCAUGUGGGCAGUAAUGGGUGCGUCCAUUUUACCCACUUUUUUUUGAAGUAUAAAUAGAUUCCGGCGAGUUAAAGUAAAAUUGUUAGUGCUUUUGAAAUCACUGUAUAAUCAGUGAAAUUCUGACCUCGUAAAAAUAAGUGCAAUUUUAUGUCAGAGAUAGAUACAUAUCUAGUUAAUAUUAUUCAUAUUUUGUUAAUUCACGAUUUUGUUGGUACUUGAUAUAAAUCUACCUCUUCUGUGAACUUUGAACUGUUGAACUUUCAACUUAUUCGUAAAAAAAAACUGGAAGUGAACUGUUGACCUUCAAAUUAGAAAAGAUGUCAAGCGUAACUAGUUGUUUCCCACUUCCAAUGAAGAUAUUGGUGAUACUUCAAGCACUGGCGUUGUUUCGAUGUGCCGCGAUGACAGAUGAAUUCUAUGACGAGGAACCCGAGUUCGAAUCCAAACGUCAGUGGUCACUAAGCUCAGACUGUUCCAUGUGUAUCACCUACAAUGACCCUGAAUACUGUACAAGGUGUCUGAACAGCAAGUCAUCGAUUCCUUUUCACAUGGCUAAACGAGCCUUUAUAAUGUCAAGGUCAACGAGGAAUUCUGGGUGCGGUUGCUGUUUGAUGAGCAGAUUCACCAAUAACUAUUGCUGCCAAAUCUGCAAGGCGGCCAAACGUGGCGUUUAUUGAAACAAGAUUCGAGUUAUACCAAAUUAUACUUUUACUUAGCUGUAUGCUUUAUAAAUCUAUACAUAUAAAUAGUCAAUGUUCUAUAAAUAGUUAUGCAAAUUUUUUUUCCCGACUGUCUGUGUUUUGUCUGCUUGGAUUUGCUGUAAAUGAUGUAAAUGAUGUUGACUACAUUAAAUGGUGAAGAAAAAUAGACGAUUUAACAAGCUCAGUUUUUUUAAUUAAUCUUCAACAAACGCCACGAUCUCACUUCCAGCUACAAUGGUACAUUUGCCAGCAUCGACAGGUAAACUUAGUGCGAACAGCAGGAACGGUGCAAACAGGCAAGCUGUUUUUUUUUUAAAUGGGACUAACUGUAUCCAUGACAUCGAUUUAACAACUAUAUUGUUUGGGUAUCGACAAACCAUUAGACGUUAACAGCUGUCAUUUUGAAAUUCAAACAAUUGUCAAGCGAAUACGCUUACUAAUGAUGGCGUUAGUGUGGAGUCAUAGCAGAACCUUUGUUUACGCAAGCGGCUUAAGCACCGAACUGGCUUUUUUUUUUUUCAUACGUGAUAUUGGAGAUUUUCACUAUAAACUAAAUAGGGUCAGGGACGCUAAACAGGGUCAGGGACGCUAAACAGGGUCAGGGACGCUAAACAGGGUCAGGGACGCUAAACAGGGUCAAGGACGCUUAAUUGAAAUUCAAAGUUUCCAACUAAAUAAAAGAUAAAACGGAAGUUGAACAUUGGAUUCUGCAAUGCAAAGAUUAUUAUUUAACUUAAUAAAACAUAGUGUGUCAAUACUUACUUUUAUUCUGUACACCGGAUACACCAAAGCGCUACCUAUUUAUAGUGUGUUUUUCCCGCCAUGUGUGAAAAUCUUAAAUAUUAUAUUAACAAGAAAAAAAAAUGAAUUUGAAGUAGUAAAAUAACAAUUACAUUCGAAACAUAACAUUUUUAAUAGAUUUUUAACAGGGCGUACUUCUUUUAUUAGGGUAACUCCUAACCUUUGCACAUAUUAGAACUAACGAUUGCUUUUUGGAAGGAUAAAAACAAAAGGGGUGACCUACUUAAAAUUACAACUUCUCAAGCUGUUUACACAUUAGUAAAAUAGCAUAAGAACUAUUGAUAUUGGAAAGAUUUUUUACGAUAAACUAAGCAAUGUCAAGGACGAUACAAUGAACUUCACUUCUGCUAACUGAAUUGAGCUAUAUUUUGUACAGUAGGCCUAUCUCUAUGCGUAGCAGUUGAUCUUCCCGUCACAUUUCCUUCAUUGCCGCUAGUGUUUAGUUGCCCAUUUGUUUUUAAAUAAGUUUUAUGUCACAGCGUGAAAGACUAAUACUUUUUCAUAUGUAAAGUAUUUUAGCUACAUUAGGAACAGCUUAGAAAAUUUAAUUCUGCAGUGCUAAAAACUCUAAUAUACUUUUAAAAAGAAAAUAAAUAAAAACAUUCCUAGACUGGACAUGGUGAUCUUUGAACACUACAAACAAUGUCGUGAAAAAAAAAAUUAAAAAGUUGAAAUAAGUCGUUUUUUUGUGAAGUAAUUAUAAGCAGUAAAGUUGUUUUUUUUUCAUCCUAACCUGUGUAACAUAUAAUUUCGGUCUAGAUUCAGUAAUUAAACAUCGAAAAUAAGGUCUCCGAGUUGAUCAAUCGUGGAUAAGAAUUUGUUUCCGUUUUCCAGUCUAGAUAUAAUAUAUAUAGGUCUGUGAACAUUCCUAUAGUUUGAACACCGGAUACACCAAAAAGUUAGCUAUUUAUAGUUUUUCCGCCAUGUCUGAAAAUCUCCAAUACACGCUUAGUAGGUCUAUAAUUUAUUGUUUAUUCGCUAAUGCCCAAUCCGAAGUAGUAGUAUGUCACCUCUCCGUGUGAACGCAGCUUUAAUGAUAAAUCCGGUUUGAUGAUCGGCUGACCUAUUUCACUUUAACCCAAACGAAAUGCAUUUAUUGGUUGCCAUUAUUGUAACCAUUCUUUUGAACAAUACAGUUUAAACAAUUCAA